Molecule: ribosomal RNA, 465 nt
Filed under: uncultured Klebsiella sp.
Lineage: Bacteria; Pseudomonadati; Pseudomonadota; Gammaproteobacteria; Enterobacterales; Enterobacteriaceae
Description: bacterial SSU rRNA
Rfam family: Bacterial small subunit ribosomal RNA
Source: RNAcentral
CCUACGGGUGGCUGCAGUGGGGAAUAUUGCACAAUGGGCGCAAGCCUGAUGCAGCCAUGCCGCGUGUGUGAAGAAGGCCUUCGGGUUGUAAAGCACUUUCAGCGGGGAGGAAGGCGGUGAGGUUAAUAACCUCAUCGAUUGACGUUACCCGCAGAAGAAGCACCGGCUAACUCCGUGCCAGCAGCCGCGGUAAUACGGAGGGUGCAAGCGUUAAUCGGAAUUACUGGGCGUAAAGCGCACGCAGGCGGUCUGUCAAGUCGGAUGUGAAAUCCCCGGGCUCAACCUGGGAACUGCAUUCGAAACUGGCAGGCUAGAGUCUUGUAGAGGGGGGUAGAAUUCCAGGUGUAGCGGUGAAAUGCGUAGAGAUCUGGAGGAAUACCGGUGGCGAAGGCGGCCCCCUGGACAAAGACUGACGCUCAGGUGCGAAAGCGUGGGGAGCGAACAGGAUUAGAUACCCUGGUAGUC